Molecule: long non-coding RNA, 371 nt
Filed under: Trifolium pratense (red clover)
Lineage: Eukaryota; Viridiplantae; Streptophyta; Magnoliopsida; Fabales; Fabaceae
Description: long non-coding RNA (TPRA_LNC004112)
Source: RNAcentral
UACUACUCUAUCUCUAUCUUUACUUAAUUGUCUUUUAUUUGUUUGGUUUGUAAUAAUAUUCUGAUGUUGCUUGGAUAUUGGCUGGAUAUUUUAAUUGUGUACUCUAAAUUUGAAUCUUCCUUUGUUUAAUUGUGGAAUGAUUUUUACCUCUAGAAUUUGUUUCAACAUUUUGGCAUAUUCUUUCUAGUCACUUGAGUAUCAAUUACUUGAUUUUCUCCGUGUGUGAUAUGUGAAACUUGCAGUGCAAUAGCUUGUUGCACUCAUGUGAUCAAGAGGCAAAGGAAGGGAACGCACACUUUUUGACUGGUUCUUUGAUUCGACCCAACCGAGAGGUAUUGAGCCAAACACUCCUUUUUCUUCUAUGUGUGAUA